Molecule: unclassified non-coding RNA, 356 nt
Filed under: fungal sp.
Lineage: Eukaryota; Fungi
Also listed under: 1 other name
Description: partial internal transcribed spacer region
Rfam family: Eukaryotic small subunit ribosomal RNA (bases 1-46)
Source: RNAcentral
AAGUCGUAACAAGGUAACCGUAGGUGAACCUGCGGUUGGAUCAUUAAAAAUCUAACUUGAAUGAGGUCAAGGUCCAGCGAUGGGUCUUGGCUUUCAUCAACCCCAAACUUGUGAACCGUUUUUGUAUUUUGGAUGUGGGUUAGUUGGCUGCCGUUCAAGCCUUGGCUUUAAAGGCUGCCCUCUUGGAAGUGAGUUGGAAGGUCAGUCGCAAGGCUGGACUUUCUCUCAACCCAUCCGCCUGGCUUGAACCUUUAAAUGUUCUUGCCUAACUUUUAAGCCCUUGAUUGAUGAACUUGUCUUGAACCUUGAUUUUUAUAACCUAAAAACAACUUUUGACAACGGAUCUCUAGGCUCUC